AGUGAACGCUGGCGGCAGGCCUAACACAUGCAAGUCGAGCGGCAGCGGGUUCCCGCGAGGGGAUGCCGGCGAGCGGCGGACGGGUGAGGAACACAUCGGAAUCUGCCUGGUUGUGGGGGAUAACGUAGGGAAACUUACGCUAAUACCGCAUGCGACCCUGAGUCGACGGACUGGGGGUGAAAGUGAGGGACCUUCGGGCCGUCACGCGACCAGAUGAGCCGAUGUCGGAUUAGCUAGUUGGCGGGGUAACGGCCCGCCAAGGCGACGAUCCGUAGCUGGUCUGAGAGGAUGAUCAGCCACACUGGGAC
RNAcentral lists this ribosomal RNA (308 nucleotides) under uncultured bacterium. RNAcentral describes it as "bacterial SSU rRNA". It matches the Rfam family "Bacterial small subunit ribosomal RNA", at positions 30 to 319 of the family's 1533-position model. The record is from RNAcentral.